This 5534-nucleotide long non-coding RNA is filed under the name Nicotiana tabacum (common tobacco). Its description in RNAcentral is "long non-coding RNA (NTAB_LNC000587)". The record is from RNAcentral. Lineage: Eukaryota; Viridiplantae; Streptophyta; Magnoliopsida; Solanales; Solanaceae.
GAAAACAAUAAAAAGACCUAAGGAUAUACACACUGAUCAGUCGUUUUUCCCCAUUCUUUUCCACACCCAUCGUCUCUUUCACUUGGGCAAAAAUAGAGGAGAACCCCAAGAACCUAAGUAGAAAAAAAAGUCUGCGCAAAAAAAGAAAAAGAAAAGGGUCAGCACCUCAUCUCACUCCAUCUUCCCACAGGCACGAAGCUUUAACACCAAAAAUCACAUGAAACUUUACUUUGAGGCUUCUCCUUUUUUGUCCCAUUAAGUGACUCGGUAGUCGCCUCUCCAUUUUCACUCUAUGGAUUACAUAUUUAAUGUUUUGGUUUUGAAAUCAAAAUGAGCUACGAUGAUUGAUAAAUUUGUGUGUAUUGGUUCAUAGUUUUGAGCUUACAAAUUUCAAAUAUGUUCUUGAAAGGAAAUGGAAGAUGUUUCGCUUACGUUGAAUUCUUCUAAUUCUUUGUUUAGCUCAUGUUGAGAUUUCAUAAAUCCGAUACUUUGUCUUCUUAAAAUUCCAGUAAAUCCAAACCAAGAAAAAAAUAUAUAUUGUGUUUCUUCCUUCCGAUUGGACUGUGAUUUCCAAAUAUGGAGUUUUACUGUGAUGCUAUUGAGGUGAGUCUGAGCUCGGUUCAGCGAGUUCAGCUCGUCUGCGGUUCUGCUUCGGAGUUCGUCAACUCUGUUUGAGGGAGGGUUUUUUGUUACACAAAAGUUUCAAAAGAAAAGUUUGUCCCCUGCUAUUGUGCUAUUCUCUAAGAAGUUAUAACAGGUUCUUUUCUUUUGCUCUAUGUUUGCUAGUUUCCUUUAUCAAGCAUGAUGGUGUCCAUGAUUAUUGGUAUUUUACUUCCCGGAUCAAUUAUUUUGUUUUGCUUAGAAGUUAGAUUUGUGUUUUCCUAAAUGAGCGUAUAUCUUUCUUUAAUCUAUUUUAUUUUGUAGAUUAAUAACUAUGGUGGCUAAUCUUUUAGUUUCAGUGCUCACGUGUUUAGAUCUUCUGUUUUCUUAUUAUGUUCAACUUUGCUAAAGUAUUGUGAGUGAAUGAAUGAAUGGGAUAUGGAGUAAUUUGCAAAGUUGUUUUCAUGGUAUUAUCGUGAUGGUGUACACAUUCGCUUGAUAUAAUUACGAUUCUAAAAUAAAUCGAGGUAUGCGUUCGUGCAACUUAGACCAAAAUUUUCUUAAAAUAAUUAAUAAAGCGUGAUUAGUUGUGGACACGUACGCAUGACACGAUUUUGACGCGCCGAACCAAAUGAUUACACGUACACGUGACUCGUUUCAAGAUAAUUUUCUUAAAUAAAAAACGGUAAAAGGUAAAUGCACAUAGGGUCUAAAAUAAGUAAUUAGAUAAUUUGAUUAAGCCAAGUAUGAUCAAAGCGACCGUGCUAAAACCACAGAACUCGGGAAUGCCUAAAACCUUCUCCCGAGUUAACAAAAUUCCUUACCCGGAUUUCUGUGUUCGCAGACCGUAAAUAGAGUCAACUUCCUUAAUUUGAGAUUUUAAACCGGUGACUUGGACACCAAUAAACUAUCCCAAGUGGCGACUAUAAUUUUUUAAAAAAAAAUAAUCCCGUUUUGAUUGUCACUUAAAUUGGAAAAAACUCCCUUACAUCCCCUUUUCGAGGUUAGUAAAAAGGAGGUGUGACAGUUGUGAGGUGGCUUGAUUAUUUGCAGGGGUGUUGUGAUCCCGUGUAGCUUGUGGUGUUAUGUGAUCAAGAUAGCUCUCGAGACGAAGAUCAUUUAUUGCACCCUAGUUGUUCUUGGGUUUUGUGAUGUAUGGCGCUAUCCGUUUCCCCAGGGUUAUAUUUUUGCACUUGGUGUGCUUGUGGUCGAUAUUCGGGUAUUUCGUAGGUAUAAGCAUUUUGGCUUGAUGGAUAUUACCCUAUUUAUUGUCAUGUGUGGAUCGGGUGGCACGCCGCAAUGGUAUCAUGUGUGAAUCGGGUUGCACGCUGCAACAGCGAGAUGUUGAGCAUGGUUCCUUAUAUUUAUUUGUGCGUCAUGUUUCUUUACUCUGAGAAAGGCUCAUAGUAUUUUAUGGUCAUUUUAUUCGUUACGCGGAUUAGAUAGUUCUUUCUAGGGUUCGUUCUUCCUAAUGUAUUAUAUUCGAGCUUGUAUCUUGUUGGUGCAUUGUGGCAUCAUAUGAGAUCUUUGUCAAUGUUUGAGGUGGCUUAUUGUCGAGUAGCGUGUGCUGGGGGAGACGAGAAUAUUGAACCUGGGAUAAGUGCAAUCGGAUUUAUAUAAGGCAUAUUAAAGUGCAAAUAUCGUUAUGUAGUUCAGAAUGUGGUUAUAGUUCUUGUCAGGAGGAGAGACUCAAUGAUUUGUUGAUUUGGCAUGUGGUUAUGAAUUUCUACGUAUCUCUUUCAUCGUGGAAGAACUGCAAGAGUUGGAAUAGGACUUACAUGCAUCAUGAGGUGCGUUAUGGGCAUCAGAUUCGUGGGAUUUAUUAUUGUCAGAGAAUGUUAUUAUGGUCAUGUGAAUUAUGCAGUGCAUGGUAUGAAUUCAGUAGAGGUAUGCAAUCAUGUAUUGGUCAUCAUUUAGUGAUUGAUACAGUGUUUGUAUGUUGGAAACAGACCUGGUAGAUAAUUUCAUAUGUUGGAAUUUGGUUCUAAGGCUUUUGACUAAAUAAAAGGGAGAAUCUUCAGACUCGUUCGAGCUAAUAUGAUCAACUGGGUUGUGGGAGCAUGGGUAGGUGCUCAAGGGAUUAAAUAGCGAUUUCGGAUUACUCCAUAGCAAUUCUUAGCACGUUUGAGGACAAAUGUAUGUUUAAAUGGGAGAGAAUGUAACUACUUGAGCAUUUGUUUUGAGAUCUAGCACGUCGUUUAGCGGUUUGAGGCCAUGAGUAGCUUCACUUCAGGUAUUAUGACUUGUACGUGUGGUCGGAAUUAAAUUUCGGGAAGUGCGGAGUUGAUUUGGAAAGAAAAUUCUAAUUUCGGAAGCUUUAAGUUAGAGGAAUUGACAAAGGUUUGAUUUUUGAGUAAACGACCUCAGAAUCGGGAUUUCAAGGUUUCAAUAGAUUCGCAUGAUAAUUUUGGACUUGGGCGUAUGUCGAGAUCGAGUUUUGGAUGACUCAGGAGCGUUUCGGCACCUGCUAUUGAAAGUUGACAUUAUGGAAGAAUUUCAUAAUUUGGGUUGAAGUAUAUUUUAAUGUUAUCAAUGUCCGUUUGGAAUUCUGAACCUGGGAAUAGCUCCGUAUGUUGAUUCUAGUCUUAGGAGCGCGUCUCAAUGUGGAUUUGGAGGUCUGUAUGUAAUUUUAGGGUCAUUUGGCAAAAGUUGGAAGUUAGAGGUUUUUGGAAGUUUGACCGAGAGUGGACUUUUUGAUAUCGGGGUUGGAUUCCGAUUCCGAAAGUUGAAGUAGUUUCAUAAUGUCAAAUGUGAAUUAUGUGCAAAAUUUGAGCUCAAUCGGAUGUGAUUUAAUAGGUUUCGGCAUCGAAUGUAGAAGUUUGAAGUUCUAGAGUUCAUUAACCUUGAAUUGGGGUGUGAUUCAAGGUUUUGACGUUGUUUGAUGUGAUUUGAGUCCACGAGGAAGUUUGUGUUAUGUUAUGGGAUAGGUUGGUGUGAUUGAAUGGGGUCCCGGGGACCUCGGGUAGAUUCUGGAUGGUCAACGGAUCGAGUUUGGACUCGGAAGAAGUGAUGAAGCAGCUAGCUGCCUUCUGGUAUAACCGCACCUACGAGGCUUUGGCCGCAGGUGCUGAGCCGCAGAAGCGAACAAGAGGGAUGCAUAUACGGAUUUUCGUGAGCAGUGCUGAGACCGUAGAUGUGGCCAUCUCGCCGCAGAAGCGGGACUGCCCUACAGAGGGGGGCAGCGUAGAAGCGUGGGCUCAGGUGCGCAUGAGGGCCGUAGAAGUGGCCAACGACCAUGGCUUGGUUUCUUGCAGGUGCGAGACUUGGAGCUUCAGAAGCGGCUGUCAUAGGGGUGACCUUCUUAUCGCAGAAGUGGAAUUUGUGCUGGGCAGUGAGGCUUCUUUAAAAACGGGAAUUCGGCCCAUUUUCAUCUCAUUUUGUCCAUGAGAGCAGAUUUUGGAGUGGCAUCUUCAUCGACUAUAAUGGUGUAUGUAAUUUCUUCACAUUGUGAAUUAAAUACAAGGUUCGUGUAUGGAUUUAGACAUGAAAAUUUGUAGAAAUUUGGGAUUUUGAAGAAAGACUUAGAAAUUAGUAUUUUUGGAUUUUGACCGCGAAAUUGGACAUGGAAUUUGGAAUAAUUAUAUAUUUGAGUUCGUAAUGUUUAUCUUCUAAAAAAUUCGGAAUCCGGGUAAGCGGGCCCGAGGGUGACUUUAUCGAUUUUUCAAGCGGAGUUGAAAAUUAUUAUAAAUUGAAUUUUAAUGAGUAUGAAAGUAUAUAUUUAUGGAUUUGCACAUUGAUUGACUAGUUUUUGAGCGAUGGACAUCGGUAUAAGUUGUUUUGAAAAGCUUUGGAGCCGGUUAUAGAAAUUCGGAGCGAGGUAAAUCUCUUUUCUAAUCUUGUAAGAGGGAAUUAACCCCAUAUGUGAAUUGAAUUAAUAUGUGCUUCAAUUAGUAGGGGCUACGUAUGCACGAGGUCACGAAAGUCCGUACAUAGCUACUAAUUAUACUUAUGUACAGGUAGUCUUAGAUUUACAUCAUCCCUUGUUGAUGCCGUUAUUUGUUUAUGCUUAUUAUUUGCCUUGAAAGAAGUUGAGAUUGAGGAUUUCGAGAUUUAAAAGUUUUCAGUUUCAAUUUCUUAUUUUUGAAAAGAAUCGAGGAAUAUUAUGAUAAAUUUGAGAAAUCUAUGUUCACUCGCAUCGUAAGUAUAUUUCGCGAGCGAGAUAAAUUCCACUACUCUCAUAAGAGAAGGCCUUUUGUCACGGCAGGUUAAUAUAUGCAUUUAUGGUUCGUACAAUUCGAUCGUCGGCAGUGCACAAUUUAUACAUUUGUAUGUUGGAUCGAGCCAUAUGACCUCGGCAUAAAUCGUGCAUAAAAAAAUCUUGGAUGUCCAAUUAUAAUCGAUAAUGUUUCAUUGGCUUGAGAGAUUAAUUUUUUUAAUGAUGAAAAUUUAUUUGGGAAUUACUAUCAGUGAAAGAAUUAUUUACUUAUUUCUAGUUAUUGAGUUUUCUGCUCUUUUUUUUUUACAUGAUCCAUGCUCAAUUAAAAUAUCGGUAUUUUAUUGUUAGCCCAUACCAAGUAUCGGAGUUGACCUCUUAUCACUACUUCUUUGAGAUUAGACUAGAUACUUACUGGGUGCGCAUUGAUUUACGUACUCAUAUUACACUUGCUGUACAUUUUGUGCAGGUAGAUUAUGUCUUUGUUGUCUUGUGGGCACAGAGGUGCAGCUAUUGCGGGGACUUAGGUGAGUUGUAUCCCAUGUUAUGAGUCCGCAGAACAUAGAGUCUCCAUCAGAGUUAUUACACUCUCCUAUCUAAUCUGUUUUCCAGACAGAUAUUGUAAUUUACCAUAUUUCCUAGUUGAUGCUCAUGCACUUGUGACACCGAAUUUUGGGGUUGCUUAUGGGUUGUUCAUUAUUGUAGUGGCGAAAAAUAUUAUCAUUUACCCUGUAAAUUUUAUUUCUUACUAUUUAAUUGAAGGAAGUUAUGAUUUUAAAUA